UACGGAAGGAGCUAGCGUUGUUCGGAUUUACUGGGCGUAAAGCGCAUGUAGGCGGCGGAUCAAGUGAGGCGUGAAAGGCCUGGGCUCAACCUGGGAACGGCGCUUCAGACUGAUUGGCUCGAGUUCGGGAGAGGGUGGUGGAAUUUCCAGUGUAGAGGUGAAAUUCGUAGAUAUUGGAAGGAACACCGGUGGCGAAGGCGGCCACCUGGCCCGAGACUGACGCUCAAGUGCGAAAGCGUGGGGAGCAAACAGG
This 253-nucleotide ribosomal RNA is filed under the name uncultured bacterium. RNAcentral describes it as "partial 16S ribosomal RNA". It matches the Rfam family "Bacterial small subunit ribosomal RNA", at positions 524 to 776 of the family's 1533-position model. The record is from RNAcentral.